UGGGGAAUAUUGCACAAUGGGCGGGAGCCUGAACCAGCCAUGCCGCGUGAGGGAUUGAGGCCCUACGGGUCGUAAACCUCUUUUGCCGGGGGAUAACGGGCGCCACGCGUGGCGCCGUGAAGGUACCCGGAGAAUAAGCAUCGGCUAACUCCGUGCCAGCAGCCGCGGUAAUACGGAGGAUGCGAGCGUUAUCCGGAUUUAUUGGGUUUAAAGGGUGCGCAGGCGGCGCGCCAAGUCAGCGGUCAAAGUUCCGGGCUCAACCCGGUGUCGCCGUUGAAACUGGCGUGCUCGAGUGCGUGCGAGGAAGGCGGAAUGCGUUGUGUAGCGGUGAAAUGCAUAGAUAUGACGCAGAACUCCGAUUGCGAAGGUAGCUUUCCAGCGCGCUACUGACGCUGAGGCACGAAAGCGUGGGGAUCGAACGGGAUUAGAUACCCUGGUAGU
RNAcentral lists this ribosomal RNA (441 nucleotides) under uncultured Porphyromonadaceae bacterium. RNAcentral's name for it is "bacterial SSU rRNA". It matches the Rfam family "Bacterial small subunit ribosomal RNA", at positions 355 to 794 of the family's 1533-position model. Lineage: Bacteria; Pseudomonadati; Bacteroidota; Bacteroidia; Bacteroidales; Porphyromonadaceae. The record is from RNAcentral.